This 760-nucleotide long non-coding RNA is filed under the name Prunus persica (peach). RNAcentral describes it as "long non-coding RNA (PPER_LNC007414)". The record is from RNAcentral. Lineage: Eukaryota; Viridiplantae; Streptophyta; Magnoliopsida; Rosales; Rosaceae.
CUUCUUUAAGUUAAAUGAGACUAGAGAGUCUGGGCCUGCGCUCCAUUGUGCUUUGCUUUUCUCUUCUUGUACUCUGCGCUCUCACUCACUCAGGUUAGUUGUUCAACUCUCUUCCUUUCUUUCCACUCUUCUUCUCUAUCUCUCUCUUUAGUAUGCUAUUUCUUGGUUUGAUUUUAAAGUUUUGAUUAUGUGUUUGUUUGUAGUUAACUUAAUCUGAUAAGAGUUAUGCUUUUUAUUGGUUAAUUUUGGAUGGAUUAUAAUUGGGUUUUUUUUAGGGUUUUUAAUUUUGAAUUGUUUUGAUAAUGAAGUUUUUGUUUGGAAUGAGAAAAUAUCAACAAAUUGAUGGGUAGAAUGAUAGACGUUUGAAUUAAGGUUGAACUAAUAGCUGGAAGUAGAACACAGAGCUACAAAGUUCUAAGUAGGGUUCUUGCUUGCUACCUAUAGAAGUUAUGUUGUUUGGGAUUCUCUGUUGCUGUGCAGGAUAUAAAACUAACCCAGCAAAUACCAGGAGCCGUCAACGAAAGUUGCAAAAAAGACUUUUUUUAUUAUUUCAAUAGUAUCAAAUUAUGUGGAUGCUAUGAGCUUUUGGUUGGUGAAGUGAAUAAGCCAUAUGCUCUUUAUUUUUAUUUAUUCAAGAUGUGUUAUAAAACUAGAGGGAGAAAAUGUAGAGAGAAGUGAUAUGCUAAAGACAAAGUUUCACCAUGUUUAUUCUUCUCUAAAUCUUUGGUAGAACCACCUAUUUAUAGGCUUACAAGAUAGG